Molecule: ribosomal RNA, 471 nt
Filed under: uncultured bacterium
Lineage: Bacteria
Description: bacterial SSU rRNA
Rfam family: Bacterial small subunit ribosomal RNA
Source: RNAcentral
GUGACUCCUACGGGAGGCAGCAGUGGGGAAUAUGCACAAUGGGGGAAACCCUGAUGCAGCCAUGCCGCGUGUGUGAAGAAGGCCUUCGGGUUGUAAAGCACUUUCAGUAGGGAGGAAGGUAGUGUAGUUAACACCUGCAUUAUUUGACGUUACCUACAGAAGAAGCACCGGCUAACUCCGUGCCAGCAGCCGCGGUAAUACGGAGGGUGCGAGCGUUAAUCGGAAUUACUGGGCGUAAAGCGCAUGCAGGCGGCCUGUUAAGUCAGAUGUGAAAGCCCGGGGCUUAACCUCGGAAUUGCAUUUGAAACUGGCAGGCUAGAGUCUUGUAGAGGGGGUAGGAAUUUCAGGUGUAGCGGUGAAAUGCGUAGAGAUCUGAAGGAAUACCAGUGGCGAAGGCGGCCCCCUCGGACAAAGACUGACGCUCAGAUGCGAAAGCGUGGGGAGGCAAACAGGAUUAGAUACCCUCGGUAG